Molecule: long non-coding RNA, 1017 nt
Filed under: Vigna radiata
Lineage: Eukaryota; Viridiplantae; Streptophyta; Magnoliopsida; Fabales; Fabaceae
Description: long non-coding RNA (VRAD_LNC003119)
Source: RNAcentral
GCGAAAUGACUUUCAAUGUGUCAAAAAAAAAAAAGAAAAAGAUAAAAGAAUUGAAAAAGAAGAAGAAAAAAGUAAUGUAUCGAGAAGAGGGGAUCUCCUUGCAAACUAGCAAGCAACAUGUACAAGAAAAUCAAACCAAUUGGGGUCGUCCUUUUAGUCAAUCAUUUUCAUACCCACUACCUCUUCCAAAUAGAACCCCUUGCCAAAGAAAAACUGGGGCAAUUUUGUGAACCUCUCGCAAAUUUUUCAUCAACCCAUACCACGAAAAAACUGGGGCAGCUUUGUAAGUCUCAUCAAUCCAUAAUCCCAUGACUGGGGCAACAUUGUAAGUCUCACACAAAAUUUCAUCAAUCCAUAAUCCCAUGAUUGGGGCAACUUUGCAAGUCUCACUUGAUUUUGUGUCACCAAUUUUCAUGGAUCCAAACCCCAGCUCAUUUUCCUAAACACAAAAUCGGGGCAAAAUUUUUGAUAUAUUGUGUUUCGUCUUGACACUCCUUUGAGGAUUGAAGUACCCAUGUGCUGGUCCUGGUCUUUCAAACCACUCCAAUUGACUCUCAUUCUCUUCAAAAUCAUCCNCUUGCCAACAAAUUCAAGCAUGUGUGCACUGAUGUCUCGAAAAAAGUCAAAAUGAAAUAAUCUCAAAUUUAAGACUUCGGAUGCAUGACAUUACUCAGAUUUCACAAAAUCUUGGAAAUAAAGACCAGUUUGAUGAUUGCAAGUAAGAUGAAUGACUCAAGAAAUGCAAAACGAAGCAAAUUUUUUUCGUCAAUCAAUCAGAAAGAAAAUCUUUCGGAUCGAGACCCUCUUCAUUCAUAUGAUUGGUUGUCGAGUCCUUCUUUGAAAAUACAAAAAGAGUAGCAUCAAAAUUUCAACACUGUGCAAUGAAAGGCUUCAAUGCCUCACUGUCUUUCCAAAAAUCAAAUUUCUAUCAAAAUCGCAAAACAUUCCACAAAAUUAUGAAUUUCAAAAUUUCAAAAGCCCAGUUUCAUCUGGCCAUUUCAAAAUAUCAAAAGCCCA